GUCUACGGCCAUACCACCCUGAACUUGCCCGAUCUCAUCUGAUCAGGGAAGCUAAGCAGGGUCAGGCCUGGUUAGUACUUGGAUGGGAGAAAACAGCCCUGCAGAGG
Myotis lucifugus (little brown bat) is the source of this 107-nucleotide ribosomal RNA. The record is from Ensembl. NCBI's taxonomy places the organism in Eukaryota, Metazoa, Chordata, Mammalia, Chiroptera, Vespertilionidae.